AGGGCACCACCAGGAGUGGAGCCUGCGGCUUAAUUUGACUCAACACGGGAAAACUCACCCGGCCCGGACACUGGGAGGAUUGACAGAUUGAGAGCUCUUUCUUGAUUCAGUGGGUGGUGGUGCAUGGCCGUUCUUAGUUGGUGGAGCGAUUUGUCUGGUUAAUUCCGAUAACGAACGAGACUCUAGCCUACUAAAUAGAUCGUCGGCUUACAAACGCCGAUGAGACUUCUUAGAGGGACAGGCGGCGAUUCAGCCGCACGAAACAGAGCAAUAACAGGUCUGUGAUGCCCUUAGAUGUCCGGGGCCGCACGCGCGCUACACUGAAGUGAUCAGCGUGCAUUUUCAGCCUACUCUGCCAAGAGUGGGAAACCCAAUGAACCUUCUUCGUGAUUGGGAUAGGGGAUUGUAAUUAUUCCCCUUGAACGAGGAAUUCCCAGUAAGCGCGAGUCAUAAGCUCGCGUUGAUUACGUCCCUGCCCUUUGUACACACCGCCCGUCGCUACUACCGAUUGAAUGUUUU
RNAcentral lists this ribosomal RNA (519 nucleotides) under uncultured eukaryote. RNAcentral's name for it is "SSU rRNA". It matches the Rfam family "Eukaryotic small subunit ribosomal RNA", at positions 1161 to 1699 of the family's 1831-position model. The record is from RNAcentral.